CAGCAGCCGCGGGAAUACGUAGGGUGCAAGCGUUAAUCGGAAUUACUGGGCGUAAAGCGUGCGCAGGCGGUUAUAUAAGACAGAUGUGAAAUCCCCGGGCUCAACCUGGGAACUGCAUUUGUGACUGUAUAGCUAGAGUACGGCAGAGGGGGAUGGAAUUCCGCGUGUAGCAGUGAAAUGCGUAGAUAUGCGGAGGAACACCGAUGGCGAAGGCAAUCCCCUGGGCCUGUACUGACGCUCAUGCACGAAAGCGUGGGGAGCAAACAGGAUUAGAUACCCCAGUAGUCCCUGUCUCUUAUAU
Molecule: ribosomal RNA, 301 nt
Filed under: uncultured bacterium
Lineage: Bacteria
Description: partial 16S ribosomal RNA
Rfam family: Bacterial small subunit ribosomal RNA
Source: RNAcentral